AACGCACCUUGCGCUCCUUGGUAUUCCGAGGAGCAUGCCUGUUUGAGUGUCAUCGAAACCUCAGAUCGACGCUUCGACCCCGUCGGAGCUCGGUCUGGACUAUGGGAGUCUGCGGGCGAAGCGUCGCUUCGUCGGCUCUCCUCAAAAGCAUUAGCCGUGGGUGGCGAGCCUGGCGUGGCACGGCCUCUUCGACGUCGUAAUGAUCGUCGUGGGCUGGAAGCGUAAGGCUCGGCGGACCCAUGCUUCGCAACCCUUGCGAGCCCGUCCCCUUGCGAGGACGGCCGCGUCCCAUCGAAGCUUGGCCUCAAAUCAGGUAGGACUACCCGCCGAACUUAA
This 336-nucleotide unclassified non-coding RNA is filed under the name Vishniacozyma sp. RNAcentral describes it as "partial contains 5.8S ribosomal RNA, internal transcribed spacer 2, and large subunit ribosomal RNA". The stretch from base 1 to 52 matches the Rfam family "5.8S ribosomal RNA", at positions 103 to 154 of the family's 154-position model. Lineage: Eukaryota; Fungi; Basidiomycota; Tremellomycetes; Tremellales; Bulleribasidiaceae. The record is from RNAcentral.